ACUUAAAUUGAAGAGUUUGAUCAUGGCUCAGAUUGAACGCUGGCGGCAGGCCUAACACAUGCAAGUCGAGCGGUAGCACAGAGAGCUUGCUCUCGGGUGACGAGCGGCGGACGGGUGAGUAAUGUCUGGGAAACUGCCUGAUGGAGGGGGNAUAACUACUGGAAACGGUAGCUAAUACCGCAUAAUGUCGCAAGACCAAAGUGGGGGACCUUCGGGCCUCAUGCCAUCAGAUGUGCCCAGAUGGGAUUAGCU
This 252-nucleotide ribosomal RNA is filed under the name Klebsiella pneumoniae. RNAcentral's name for it is "partial 16S ribosomal RNA". It matches the Rfam family "Bacterial small subunit ribosomal RNA", at positions 1 to 246 of the family's 1533-position model. Lineage: Bacteria; Pseudomonadati; Pseudomonadota; Gammaproteobacteria; Enterobacterales; Enterobacteriaceae. The record is from RNAcentral.